RNAcentral lists this ribosomal RNA (253 nucleotides) under uncultured bacterium. RNAcentral's name for it is "partial 16S ribosomal RNA". It matches the Rfam family "Bacterial small subunit ribosomal RNA", at positions 524 to 776 of the family's 1533-position model. The record is from RNAcentral.
UACGUAGGGACCAAGCGUUGUCCGGAAUCAUUGGGCGUAAAGAGCGUGUAGGCGGCGGUGUUGGCCCGGCGUGAAAGCCCCCGGCUCAACCGGGGAGAGUCGUCGGGGACCGCACCGCUUGAGGGCGGUAGGGGCUGGUGGAAUGCCUGGUGUAGUGGUGAAAUGCGUAGAGAUCAGGCAGAACACCUGGGGCGAAGGCGGCCAGCUGGGCCGUCCCUGACGCUGAGGCGCGAAGGCGUGGGGAGCGAACGGG